Molecule: long non-coding RNA, 351 nt
Filed under: Olea europaea (common olive)
Lineage: Eukaryota; Viridiplantae; Streptophyta; Magnoliopsida; Lamiales; Oleaceae
Description: long non-coding RNA (OEUR_LNC012913)
Source: RNAcentral
UUCAAUUUAAGGUCUUCAGAUAUCGGAGAAAAUAUCAACUCCACCUCAGCAUCAGAUACAUCAAAUCUUGGAGGCGAUGCUUUUCGCUUCAGUGAUGGUUCUGGCAGGAUUUUGUUGGGGGCUCGUGAGCACUGUGUCAUCGCUGGGAUUUUGUCGUCAAAAGAUGUCGGAGUUUUGAACCCAUCAUCGUCUGGCAGGAUUUUCUUGGGGGCUCGUGGGCACUGUGUCAUCGCUGGGAUUUUGUGGUAAAAAGAUGUCGGAGUUUUGAACCCAUCAUCGUCUUCAGCUACUUCGGAUUCUCCUAAACAUAGAAUUUUGGAUUCUUCUUCAUGAUCGGUUUCAUCUUCUGGG